ACAGACUAACACGGCUGCUACUCUGAGAGCAGUUCAGUGCUCUGCAGCACAAAGACCCAUGGGAUGUGCCUUGAGGAGUCUUUGACACACACAGCUAAUCUGAACCGCAGAUAGUGAAUGGGGGCUGUUCCUGUGGGACGGAAAUCCACGUCUGUCCUGCGAGGCGUGGGCACGGGGUCUCAUCUUCCAAAAAGAACUGAAAAGCUGCUGGCUUUGGGUUCAGGGAUAAGCCUAAAGACAACGAGGUGUGCCCAGCUCUGCAAACCUCAGAUGAUCCAACUGAAGCACUACCAAUAAAACCCAUUCUCCUGAGGCCCCAUCCAGUGCACUAUCCACAGGCCCACAUUGCCUCCCCAAGAGAGUAUAUCAAAGCCCAGUGAUGGCAUUACCUUUGGUGCAGGCUGUGAUUG
Chelonia mydas (Green sea turtle) is the source of this 410-nucleotide long non-coding RNA. RefSeq lists it as uncharacterized. NCBI's taxonomy places the organism in Eukaryota, Metazoa, Chordata, Testudines, Cheloniidae. The record is from RefSeq and is a predicted model, not a curated record. The transcript is spliced from 3 exons.